GCUUGCUCUUCUUGGAUGAGUUGCGAACGGGUGAGUAACGCGUAGGUAACCUGCCUUGUAGCGGGGGAUAACUAUUGGAAACGAUAGCUAAUACCGCAUAACAAUGGAUGACCCAUGUCAUUUAUUUGAAAGGGGCAAAUGCUCCACUACAAGAUGGACCUGCGUUGUAUUAGCUAGUAGGUGAGGUAACGGCUCACCUAGGCGACGAUACAUAGCCGACCUGAGAGGGUGAUCGGCCACACUGGGACUGAGACACGGCCCAGACUCCUACGGGAGGCAGCAGUAGGGAAUCUUCGGCAAUGGGGGCAACCCUGACCGAGCAACGCCGCGUGAAUGAAGAAGGUUUUCGGAUCGUAAAGCUCUGUUGUAAGUCAAGAACGAGUGUGAGAGUGGAAAGUUCACACUGUGACGGUAGUUUACCAGAAAGGGACGGCUAACUACGUGCCAGCAGCCGCGGUAAUACGUAGGUCCCGAGCGUUGUCCGGAUUUAUUGGGCGUAAAGCGAGCGCAGGCGGUUUGAUAAGUCUGAAGUUAAAGGCUGUGGCUCAACCAUAGUUCGCUUUGGAAACUGUCAAACUUGAGUGCAGAAGGGGAGAGUGGAAUUCCAUGUGUAGCGGUGAAAUGCGUAGAUAUAUGGAGGAACACCGGUGGCGAAAGCGGCUCUCUGGUCUGUAA
This 675-nucleotide ribosomal RNA is filed under the name uncultured Bacilli bacterium. Its description in RNAcentral is "bacterial SSU rRNA". It matches the Rfam family "Bacterial small subunit ribosomal RNA", at positions 78 to 739 of the family's 1533-position model. Lineage: Bacteria; Bacillati; Bacillota; Bacilli. The record is from RNAcentral.